This 74-nucleotide transfer RNA is filed under the name Candidatus Kaiserbacteria bacterium. RNAcentral describes it as "tRNA-Ile". It matches the Rfam family "tRNA". From Rfam's summary of the family: Transfer RNA (tRNA) molecules are approximately 80 nucleotides in length. Their secondary structure includes four short double-helical elements and three loops (D, anti-codon, and T loops). Further hydrogen bonds mediate the characteristic L-shaped molecular structure. tRNAs have two regions of fundamental functional importance: the anti-codon, which is responsible for specific mRNA codon recognition, and the 3' end, to which the tRNAs corresponding amino acid is attached (by aminoacyl-tRNA synthetases). tRNAs cope with the degeneracy of the genetic code in two manners: having more than one tRNA (with a specific anti-codon) for a particular amino acid; and 'wobble' base-pairing, i.e. permitting non-standard base-pairing at the 3rd anti-codon position. The record is from RNAcentral. RNAcentral also lists the same sequence under 1 other name. Lineage: Bacteria; Candidatus Kaiseribacteriota.
CCGGGCUUAGCUCAGUUGGCUAGAGCGUUCGACUGAUACUCGAAAGGUCCAAGGUUCAAAUCCUUGAGCCCGGA